RNAcentral lists this ribosomal RNA (492 nucleotides) under uncultured bacterium. RNAcentral's name for it is "partial 16S ribosomal RNA". It matches the Rfam family "Bacterial small subunit ribosomal RNA", at positions 29 to 507 of the family's 1533-position model. The record is from RNAcentral.
AGUGAACGCUGGCGGUAGGCCUAACACAUGCAAGUCGAACGGCAGCACAGUAAGAGCUUGCUCUUACGGGUGGCGAGUGGCGGACGGGUGAGGAAUACAUCGGAAUCUACUUUUUCGUGGGGGAUAACGUAGGGAAACUUACGCUAAUACCGCAUACGACCUACGGGUGAAAGCAGGGGAUCUUCGGACCUUGCGCGAUUGAAUGGGCCGAUGUCGGAUUAGCUAGUUGGCGGGGUAAAGGCCCACCAAGGCGACGAUCCGUAGCUGGUCUGAGAGGAUGAUCAGCCACACUGGAACUGAGACACGGUCCAGACUCCUACGGGAGGCAGCAGUGGGGAAUAUUGGACAAUGGGCGCAAGCCUGAUCCAGCCAUACCGCGUGGGUGAAGAAGGCCUUCGGGUUGUAAAGCCCUUUUGUUGGGAAAGAAAAGCAGCAGGUUAAUACCCCGCUGUUCUGACGGUACCCGAAGAAUAAGCACCGGCUAACUUCGUG